GACAGAGGGUGCAAACGUUGUUCGGAAUUACUGGGCGUAAAGCGCGUGUAGGCUGCUUCGCAAGUCGGAUGUGAAAGCCCUGGGCUCAACCUGGGAAUUGCAGUGGAUACUGGCAAGCUAGAGUGCGGUAGAGGAUGGUGGAAUUCCCGGUGUAGCGGUGAAAUGCGUAGAGAUCAGGAGGAACACCCGUAGCGAAGGCGGCACUCUGGGCCGAUACUGACACUGAGGAGCGAAAGCGUGGGGAGCGAACAGG
This 253-nucleotide ribosomal RNA is filed under the name uncultured bacterium. RNAcentral's name for it is "partial 16S ribosomal RNA". It matches the Rfam family "Bacterial small subunit ribosomal RNA", at positions 524 to 776 of the family's 1533-position model. The record is from RNAcentral.